CAGUGGGUGGGAGCUGAUGCUGGCUAGAAGACUUGAGUCUUCCGAGAGGCAGCUUGAUUCCUGGAAAAGACUACUGGGCUGGAAGUCAGGAGGCCUGGGGUACUCUCAGCUCUGCUGCUAACAUGCUGCAUGACCAUGGGCUGACUGACUGGAGAACCUGAGGUGCUGUGCAGAGACCAGAGGAAGGCUUUGAUCCCAAGCCUGCAGCCGGUCCAGCUCAGCACCUGGCUCACAUUAGGCACUCAGUGAAUGUUGAUGUGAACAAAUGAACUGAUUCAAAGAAGUGUCUCCUGAAGUUGCUUCUUUCCAAUCCAGCCAACAAAUGCAGUAUUCUGAAUGGAGGUAACAGAGAUCACAUCACCUUCAGCUUUCUGCUGCAGAUCCACAUGAAGAAUCACACAUAUCCUUAAUGUUAGAUAGGACUUUGCAUUGGACACUUUAAAAUGUGAUGUCUGGCUUUGAAGAGGGUGUAUAACACACAUAAUUUACUGUGCAUCAAUCUCACUAAUGGAAAAUAAACAACAACCCAUAAA
Molecule: non-coding RNA, 533 nt
Filed under: Pongo abelii (Sumatran orangutan)
Lineage: Eukaryota; Metazoa; Chordata; Mammalia; Primates; Hominidae
Source: RNAcentral